This 433-nucleotide ribosomal RNA is filed under the name uncultured bacterium. RNAcentral describes it as "partial 16S ribosomal RNA". It matches the Rfam family "Bacterial small subunit ribosomal RNA", at positions 29 to 507 of the family's 1533-position model. The record is from RNAcentral.
AACGAACGCUGGCGGCAUGCCUAACACAUGCAAGUCGAACGAGACCUUCGGGUCUAGUGGCGCACGGGUGCGUAACGCGUGGGAACCUGCCCUUAGGUUCGGCAUAACUCCCCGAAAGGGGUGCUAAUACCGGAUCAUGUCUUCGGCCCAAAGAUUUAUCGCCUUUGGAUGGGCCCGCGUUGGAUUAGCUAGUUGGUAGGGUAAAAGCCUACCACGGCGACGAUCCAUAGCUGGUUCGGGAGGAUGAUCAGCGACACUGGGACUGAGACACGGCCCAGACUCCUACGGGAGGCAGCAGUGGGGAAUAUUGGACAAUGGGCGAAGGCCUGAUCCAGCUAUGCCGCGUGAGUGAUGAAGGCCUGAGGGUUGUAAAGCGCUUUUACCCGGGAUGAUAAUGACGGUACCGGGAGAAUAAGCUCCGGCUAACUCCGUG